RNAcentral lists this long non-coding RNA (1201 nucleotides) under Equus caballus (horse). RNAcentral describes it as "lncRNA (ENSECAG00000040407.3)". Lineage: Eukaryota; Metazoa; Chordata; Mammalia; Perissodactyla; Equidae. The record is from RNAcentral.
AAAAAUUAGUUUUGAGCUUUGACCUUUGUCAACCAUGAUUCAGAUAUCAGCCUGACCUUUAGAAAGUCUGCAAAAAGUAGUUGCCCAAUACUGGAAACCAGACAGGCGAUCACUCAGCUCUGCCUAAGAUGUGGUGGAAAUUCCUGUGGUGAAACCUUUGUAGUCUGAAAACUGAGGGUUUCGUGUGGCCUUAGGAUGCCAUUUGGCUGCUGAUUCUUUUGGGAACUAUAUGAGUCACUGCCCUGAUAGGACAUUUUAAGCACUUAGCAAAUAAUUGGCACAUAAUGAUAAAGUGAAUUUAUGUAUCAUUAUUGUUGCUUACCUCUGCUUGAUUUCAAGGUGAGGAAGAUUUAGUGGGAAAACAGCAUAGAAUGCAAGAGGAGUGGUUUUGUACAGCAACAUCCAAAACUUCAUUGGGAUAGAACACGUGUGGAAUCCACAACAAGUUUGCCAUAAGCAGAAUUGCUCUGAAUUUUAGGGAUUUUAGGUUAAGUAUGGAAGAUGAGAAGAUAUGAACUACUCAAAUGAGGUCUAAGAAAAUCUUGACAUUCUAGAUGAAGCAGAGACAGAGGAUGAGAGAGAGAGGUAAUAUAACAGAAAUCUGCAUAAAGUAGAGAAAGAGGAAAAAAGAUGAUAUUGAUUAACUCCACUGAGAAUCAAAGGAAGUGGGAUGGUGAUCAGGAAAAGUUUCACAGAAGAGAUGCCACUAAGAGAGAGAGAAAAAGAUAAGAUUUGGACCUACAUUAGCAGAAUCAUCUUUGGUGGAAGCUUUGAAACAGACUAUGCUAUCACCUGAAUCACCUACUGUGGACUGGAGUCAUGCCAGUACUUAGAAGGAAGCACAGCAAGAGAAAAUUCACAGCAUCAUUUGCAUCUCUGAAUCCAACCAGUGCUGAAAAUUUCUCUACCCCUGAACUUUCAAGAAAAAAGGGCUAAUAAAUCCUCUUAUUUCAGCUAGCUUGGAUUGGGUUUCUAUUGACUUUCAAAUCAAAUAAUUAACAAAAUUUGUAGAAAUUGAGACCAGGAUUGCAAUGUUGAAAGUAUCAUACUCCAAAACAAGGAACUGAUUGAGAUAAGAUAAAUUGGAGAUCUUUUGAGGGGAGAAGUAAGAGGGAGCUCCAUUGGUUACAUAUUAGAAAAAGAGAUGGUUAAACUUCUAUCAGAAUUUCAGCCCAUGUGCAUACCAAAAACAGAAACGUAG